Molecule: ribosomal RNA, 482 nt
Filed under: uncultured bacterium
Lineage: Bacteria
Description: bacterial SSU rRNA
Rfam family: Bacterial small subunit ribosomal RNA
Source: RNAcentral
AUUGAACGCUGGCGGCAUGCCUUACACAUGCAAGUCGAACGGCAGCACGGGAGCAAUCCUGGUGGCGAGUGGCGAACGGGUGAGUAAUAUAUCGGAACGUGCCCAGUCGUGGGGGAUAACGUAGCGAAAGCUACGCUAAUACCGCAUACGAUCUACGGAUGAAAGCGGGGGAUCGCAAGACCUCGCGCGAUUGGAGCGGCCGAUAUCAGAUUAGCUAGUUGGUGGGGUAAAAGCUCACCAAGGCGACGAUCUGUAGCUGGUCUGAGAGGACGACCAGCCACACUGGAACUGAGACACGGUCCAGACUCCUACGGGAGGCAGCAGUGGGGAAUUUUGGACAAUGGGCGCAAGCCUGAUCCAGCAAUGCCGCGUGCAGGAUGAAGGCCUCGGUUGUAACUAGCUUUGUUACGUACGAAACGGUAGAGCUCUAAUAAGACUUAGCUAAUACGGUACCGUAAGAAUAAGACACCGGCUAACUACGU